RNAcentral lists this ribosomal RNA (1377 nucleotides) under Triticum aestivum (bread wheat). RNAcentral's name for it is "partial small subunit ribosomal RNA". The record is from RNAcentral. Lineage: Eukaryota; Viridiplantae; Streptophyta; Magnoliopsida; Poales; Poaceae.
AUGGCGCCGCCGCUGCCGCCGACGGCGAAAUGCCCGACCACCGUGCUCGAUCUCGACGACGACCUCCUCUGCGAGGUGUUCCUCCGCCUCCCCGGCCUCCCGAGCCUCGUCCGCGCCGCCCUCUCCUGCCGCACCUUCCACUCCGCGGUCCGUUCCUCCCCCGCCUUCCGCCGCAGCUUCCGGGCUCUCCACCCGUCUCCCUUCGUCGGCCUCUUCGUCCAGCGCCGAGGCUUCAAGCCCGAGGCCUCCUCUUUCCACGCCCACCACAGCCCCCCUGACCAGGACUUCGAGGCCGCUGCCCGCGGCGGCGAUUUCUCCCUCACCGCCCUCCCACUCCCAGACGCCGACGGCAGCGAAGACGGCAAUGAGGAGGAGGAGUACGAGGAGUACGAGGAAGAAGACGAGGAGGAGGAGGAGGAGGCCUCGCCCGUGUGGGAGAUUGAGCGGUGCUGCGACGGCUACGUGGUUGUCUUCAACCGGAGGGCCAAGCAGAUAGCUGCCUACAACCCUCUCACCCGGGCACUGCAUCUCUACCCCUCACCGCCCCGCCUCUUCUCCGAUGCCACUAGCUUCGAAUUCCACAUUAUCUCCUCCCAAGAGGACCCCGGCGCACCACCCCGCGUGGUGUGUUUCGAUUUCAACUUGUUUCAGGCGAAGGCGGUUGUCCACCUCAUCUCGCCGGACAGCAGCAUCAAGUCCAAGUGCCGCAAGUUCCCUGGCACCGGGAGCGGGGUCACCGGCAAGAUGGUGAAUGGGUCUGUCUAUUGGACGCACGUGGGGAAACCCUACAUCACAGUGCUCGACACCACGACACUGAAGUUCACUAAAAUGGAUCUGCCGCCGCUCUUGGCAGAUCAGGAAGGCCGUAAGUGUGCUUUUGUGUUUGGUAAUACCAAGGGUGGGAGGCCCUGUAUCGUUUCCCCAGAUUUGUGGGGUGGUUGCUCGCUUGAUGUCUUUUUCUGGAGACCCGAGGAUGAGCAUUGUGACGAUGGUCGCAAUUACUGGUUGUACCAGACAUUUCCCUUGAAAAUGACUCGCCAGUUCGUUAAGUUCCCAAAAGGAGGUGAUGAAUUUAUCAUUGUGCGGCUUAUGGAUGUUACAGAUGGAAUCAUGUACCUGCGUACUGAGUAUGACGGGUGUACCGAGUCUCCUCAGUUGUUGCUAUCCUUUUGCCUCGAAACAGCAGAGCUGAAACUGAUAUGUGAAGAUUAUCACAAGCCUGUCCAUCCCUACAUCAUGGCGUGGCCUCCUUCUUUGGUACAAAAUGACGAGGGUCCCUGUUCAAAAGAUCAAGCUCUAUCUACCGCAAGCUCUGAAGGAUGUGAUGUGAAGGCUGGAGGUGGCCAAACAUUGCCUGCAUCUGUUGCGAAAGCAUAA